AGCGGCGAACGGGUGAGUAACACGUAGGUGAUCUGCCCAUCAGACGGGGACAACGAUUGGAAACGAUCGCUAAUACCGGAUAGGACGAAAGUUUAAAGGUGCUUCUGGCACCGCUGAUGGAUGAGCCUGCGGCGCAUUAGCUAAUUGGUAGGGUAAAGGCCUACCAAGGCGACGAUGCGUAGCCGACCUGAGAGGGUGAACGGCCACACUGGGACUGAGACACGGCCCAGACUCCUACGGGAGGCAGCAGUAGGGAAUCUUCGGCAAUGGGCGAAAGCCUGACCGAGCAACGCCGCGUGAAUGAUGAAGGCCUUCGGGUUGUAAAAUUCUGUUAUAAGGGAAGAACGACUUUAGUAGGAAAUGGCUAGAGUGUGACGGUACCUUAUGAGAAAGCCACGGCUAACUACGUGCCAGCAGCCGCGGUAAUACGUAGGUGGCGAGCGUUAUCCGGAAUUAUUGGGCGUAAAGAGCGCGCAGGUGGUUGAUUAAGUCUGAUGUGAAAGCCCACGGCUUAACCGUGGAGGGUCAUUGGAAACUGGUCGACUUGAGUGCAGAAGAGGGAAGUGGAAUUCCAUGUGUAGCGGUGAAAUGCGUAGAGAUAUGGAGGAACACCAGUGGCGAAGGCGGCUUCCUGGUCUGUAACUGACACUGAGGCGCGAAAGCGUGGGGAGCAAACAGGAUUAGAUACCCUGGUAGUCCACGCCGUAAACGAUGAGUGCUAAGUGU
This 726-nucleotide ribosomal RNA is filed under the name uncultured bacterium. RNAcentral describes it as "bacterial SSU rRNA". It matches the Rfam family "Bacterial small subunit ribosomal RNA", at positions 94 to 823 of the family's 1533-position model. The record is from RNAcentral.